UGGGUUUGGAGAAGCGCGUCUGCUUUUUGUCCCCGCUGGGCCGCCGUAGCCGAGCAGGUGGUGGUAGGAAGGGCUCAGCGAGUAUCAGGGGGCGGGCUGCGCCACGAGGGUCCUGACCGUGCAGACCUGUGGCUAGGCGCAGGCAGCUGUCUGGCCCUUGCUGGCUGGGCUGCGCAGACCUGGCACAAACUAUGCCUGGAGUCACCAUCUACACAUGCACUUAAUCCCUGUUUACCCUGCCCUAAAACAGCCCCACCCCCAACAGUACUAUUUUAGGGCAGCGGUACUUUGCUGUGGCCUAAUAGCAUCACACAGGUAGAUGGUGACACUUUACUCCACAGCCGAGCGCAUGCACAGAUGCACCCGAUUGUACAGACUCCUCGCAAGGAAGUCAAAUCCUUGCUCCAACUGGUGGAGUCGUUUCCAAGACUGGCUAACGAUUACACCUCUGAAUAAAUCACCUGCUAUCUCACGGCGCUUCAACACUAUCAGUGUUCUGCUCUGUAUCACGUUUCCAAAAAUAUUCCAGCCUGCUGCAAUGUUCACAGUUUUAUAUUCAUGGCACAGGUAGAAAAGGAGGAAGGCAUUGUCCGAGUUUGUGACACUCGCACCCAGCCACCCGCAACCCUUUUCUGCUCCUGAAUAGUUAAAGUUACAACCAUGCAAGCAUUUUAAUAGUGGUCACACAAUCAGCAGACUAAGGAAGAGCACGUACCAACUGCAGAUGCUUCCUCAGCCUGACAAAGGGUAUUUAAACC
Molecule: long non-coding RNA, 758 nt
Organism: Alligator sinensis (Chinese alligator)
Lineage: Eukaryota; Metazoa; Chordata; Crocodylia; Alligatoridae
Exons: 3
Source: RefSeq, a predicted model, not a curated record